RNAcentral lists this ribosomal RNA (1509 nucleotides) under Helicobacter pylori. RNAcentral describes it as "bacterial SSU rRNA". It matches the Rfam family "Bacterial small subunit ribosomal RNA". The record is from RNAcentral. Lineage: Bacteria; Pseudomonadati; Campylobacterota; Epsilonproteobacteria; Campylobacterales; Helicobacteraceae.
UUUAUGGAGAGUUUGAUCCUGGCUCAGAGUGAACGCUGGCGGCGUGCCUAAUACAUGCAAGUCGAACGAUGAAGCUUCUAGCUUGCUAGAGUGCUGAUUAGUGGCGCACGGGUGAGUAACGCAUAGGUUAUGUGCCUCUUAGUUUGGGAUAGCCAUUGGAAACGAUGAUUAAUACCAGAUACUCCCUACGGGGGAAAGAUUUAUCGCUAAGAGAUCAGCCUAUGUCCUAUCAGCUUGUUGGUAAGGUAAUGGCUUACCAAGGCUAUGACGGGUAUCCGGCCUGAGAGGGUGAACGGACACACUGGAACUGAGACACGGUCCAGACUCCUACGGGAGGCAGCAGUAGGGAAUAUUGCUCAAUGGGGGAAACCCUGAAGCAGCAACGCCGCGUGGAGGAUGAAGGUUUUAGGAUUGUAAACUCCUUUUGUUAGAGAAGAUAAUGACGGUAUCUAACGAAUAAGCACCGGCUAACUCCGUGCCAGCAGCCGCGGUAAUACGGAGGGUGCAAGCGUUACUCGGAAUCACUGGGCGUAAAGAGCGCGUAGGCGGGAUAGUCAGUCAGGUGUGAAAUCCUAUGGCUUAACCAUAGAACUGCAUUUGAAACUACUAUUCUAGAGUGUGGGAGAGGUAGGUGGAAUUCUUGGUGUAGGGGUAAAAUCCGUAGAGAUCAAGAGGAAUACUCAUUGCGAAGGCGACCUGCUGGAACAUUACUGACGCUGAUUGUGCGAAAGCGUGGGGAGCAAACAGGAUUAGAUACCCUGGUAGUCCACGCCCUAAACGAUGGAUGCUAGUUGUUGGAGGGCUUAGUCUCUCCAGUAAUGCAGCUAACGCAUUAAGCAUCCCGCCUGGGGAGUACGGUCGCAAGAUUAAAACUCAAAGGAAUAGACGGGGACCCGCACAAGCGGUGGAGCAUGUGGUUUAAUUCGAAGAUACACGAAGAACCUUACCUAGGCUUGACAUUGAGAGAAUCCGCUAGAAAUAGUGGAGUGUCUAGCUUGCUAGACCUUGAAAACAGGUGCUGCACGGCUGUCGUCAGCUCGUGUCGUGAGAUGUUGGGUUAAGUCCCGCAACGAGCGCAACCCCCUUUCUUAGUUGCUAACAGGUCAUGCUGAGAACUCUAAGGAUACUGCCUCCGUAAGGAGGAGGAAGGUGGGGACGACGUCAAGUCAUCAUGGCCCUUACGCCUAGGGCUACACACGUGCUACAAUGGGGUGCACAAAGAGAAGCAAUACUGCGAAGUGGAGCCAAUCUUCAAAACGCCUCUCAGUUCGGAUUGUAGGCUGCAACUCGCCUGCAUGAAGCUGGAAUCGCUAGUAAUCGCAAAUCAGCCAUGUUGCGGUGAAUACGUUCCCGGGUCUUGUACUCACCGCCCGUCACACCAUGGGAGUUGUGUUUGCCUUAAGUCAGGAUGCUAAAUUGGCUACUGCCCACGGCACACACAACGACUGGGGUGAAGUCGUAACAAGGUAACCGUAGGUGAACCUGCGGUUGGAUCACCUCCUUUCUAGA